RNAcentral lists this ribosomal RNA (442 nucleotides) under uncultured bacterium. RNAcentral describes it as "partial 16S ribosomal RNA". It matches the Rfam family "Bacterial small subunit ribosomal RNA", at positions 338 to 795 of the family's 1533-position model. The record is from RNAcentral.
CCUACGGGUGGCAGCAGUGGGGAAUAUUGGGCAAUGGGCGCAAGCCUGACCCAGCAACGCCGCGUGAAGGAAGAAGGCUUUCGGGUUGUAAACUCCUUUUAAGAGGGAAGAGCAGAAGACGGUACCUCUUGUAUAAGCCACGGCUAACUACGUGCCAGCAGCCGCGGGUAUACGUAGGUGGCACGCGUUGUCCGGAUUUACUGGGGGUAAAGGGCGUGCAGGCGGGAAGACAAGUCAGAUGUGAAAGCCCGUGGCUGAACCGCGGAACUGCAUUUGAAACUGUUUUUCUUGAGUACCGGAGAGGUCGUCGGAAUUCCUGGUGUAGCGGUGAAAUGCGUAGAGAUAAGGAAGAACACCAAUGGCGAAGGCGGAUGACUGGACCGCAACUGACGGUGAGGCGCGAAAGCGUGGGGAGCAAACAGGAUUAGAUACCCCAGUAGUC